This 508-nucleotide ribosomal RNA is filed under the name uncultured Glomus. RNAcentral's name for it is "SSU rRNA". It matches the Rfam family "Eukaryotic small subunit ribosomal RNA", at positions 569 to 1078 of the family's 1831-position model. Lineage: Eukaryota; Fungi; Glomeromycota; Glomeromycetes; Glomerales; Glomeraceae. The record is from RNAcentral.
AGCAGCCGCGGUAAUUCCAGCUCCAAUAGCGUAUAUUAAAGUUGUUGCAGUUAAAAAGCUCGUAGUUGAAUUUCGGGGUUAGUAGGUUGGUCAUGCCUCUGGUAUGUACUGGUCUCACUGAUUCCUCCUUCCUGAUGAACCUUAAUGCCAUUAAUUUGGUGUUUUGGGGAAUUUGGACUGUUACUUUGAAAAAAUUAGAGUGUUUAAAGCAAGCUAACGCUUGAAUACAUUAGCAUGGAAUAAUGAAAUAGGACGUUCGAUCCUAUUUUGUUGGUUUCUAGGAUUGACGUAAUGAUUAAUAGGGAUAGUUGGGGGCAUUAGUAUUCAAUUGUCAGAGGUGAAAUUCUUGGAUUUAUUGAAGACUGACUACUGCGAAAGCAUUUGCCAAGGAUGUUUUCAUUAAUCAAGAACGAAAGUUAGGGGAUCGAAGACGAUCAGAUACCGUCGUAGUCUUAACCAUAAACUAUGCCGACUAGGGAUCGGAUGAUGUUAAUUUUUUAAUGACUCA